AUGAGUCGUUACCGUGAACUGAGAAACAUAGCUAGUAUGGCCCUAUUCAAAGUAUCAAAAAGCGGGGAGCGUUCGCAGCAGGUGAAAGAUUAUCUCCAAAGUAUCAUCAAUGGGCCCAUCCAGAAUGAUGAUAACACCGAGGAGACAACAUUUGGUCCUAUACCCUCUCACUACUCUGCCGCAAGCCAAGCUUCAGUGGAGAGAGUCCUUGAUCCAAAAAUAGUCGACACAAAAGGUGCUCCAUGCAAGAAGAGAAUGAAGCCAUUUCACGAGACGUUGAGGGAAACGAACGGGCGGAAGAAGAGAACUAGAAGCUGCGGCCAAUGUAAAAGUUCCGAACAUGACAGGCGGAAAUGUCCAGAUUUAGGGAAAUAA
This 375-nucleotide ribosomal RNA is filed under the name Triticum aestivum (bread wheat). RNAcentral describes it as "partial small subunit ribosomal RNA". Lineage: Eukaryota; Viridiplantae; Streptophyta; Magnoliopsida; Poales; Poaceae. The record is from RNAcentral.